Molecule: ribosomal RNA, 301 nt
Filed under: uncultured bacterium
Lineage: Bacteria
Description: partial 16S ribosomal RNA
Rfam family: Bacterial small subunit ribosomal RNA
Source: RNAcentral
CAGUCGCCGCGGGAAUACGAAGGGUGCAAGCGUUACUCGGAAUUACUGGGCGUAAAGAGCUCGUAGGCGGUCUGUCGCGUCUGCCGUGAAAUCCUCAGGCUCAACCUGAGGCGUGCGGUGGGUACGGGCAGGCUAGAGUGCGGUAGGGGAGAAUGGAACUCCUGGUGUAGCGGUGGAAUGCGCAGAUAUCAGGAAGAACACCGAUGGCGAAGGCAGUUCUCUGGGCCGUAACUGACGCUGAGGAGCGAAAGCGUGGGGAGCGAACAGGAUUAGAUACCCCUGUAGUCCCUGUCUCUUAUAC